Molecule: ribosomal RNA, 445 nt
Filed under: uncultured bacterium
Lineage: Bacteria
Description: partial 16S ribosomal RNA
Rfam family: Bacterial small subunit ribosomal RNA
Source: RNAcentral
GUGAGGAAUAUUGGACAAUGGGCGCAAGCCUGAUCCAGCCAUGCCGCGUGCAGGAAGACGCAUCUAUGGUGUGUAAACUGCUUUUGUACGGGAAGAAACACUCCCUCGUGAGGGAGCUUGACGGUACCGUAAGAAUAAGGAUCGGCUAACUCCGUGCCAGCAGCCGCGGUAAUACGGAGGAUCCAAGCGUUAUCCGGAAUCAUUGGGUUUAAAGGGGCCGUAGGCGGUUUAAUAAGUCAGUGGUGAAAGCCCAUCGCUCAACGAUGGAACGGCCAUUGAUACUGGUAGGCUUGAAGUACAAGGAAGUAACUAGAAUAUGUAGUGUAGCGGUGAAAUGCUUAGAUAUUACAUGGAAUACCAAUUGCGAAGGCAGGUUACUACUUGUGGAUUGACGCUGAUGGACGAAAGCGUGGGGAGCGAACAGGAUUAGAAACCCUGGUAGUCC